GAUGAAGAACGUAGCGAAAUGCGAUAAGUAAUGUGAACUGCAGAAUUCAGUGAAUCAUCGAAUCUUUGAACGCAUCUUGCGCUCCUUGGUAUUCUGAGGAGCAUGCCUGUUUGAGUGUCAUUAAAUUCUCAACCGCACUGACUUUGAAUUGGUGUGGCUUGGAUUUGGGGGGAAAAUUGUUGUGGGCUUUUUUGUAUAGUCUGCUCCCCUGAAAUUGAUUAGCGGUACCUUUGUGGAACUGUCUACAGGUGUGAUAAUUAUCUACAUCCUAGACAUCUGCUGGAAUGCUGCUUUCUAAACCUUACUUGUAUUGACAAUCUUGACCUCAAAUCAGGUAGGACUACCCGCUGAACUUAAGCAUAUCAAUAAGCGGAGGA
RNAcentral lists this unclassified non-coding RNA (377 nucleotides) under soil metagenome. RNAcentral's name for it is "partial contains 5.8S ribosomal RNA, internal transcribed spacer 2, and large subunit ribosomal RNA". The stretch from base 1 to 120 matches the Rfam family "5.8S ribosomal RNA", at positions 35 to 154 of the family's 154-position model. The record is from RNAcentral.